UCACCUUCAUCAUGAAUGGCGAUAGUAGAAGCAAAAAAAGAUUAAUGGACUUUUGGUGAGGACUUUAUUCAACGGCAACUCUUCGAUUUUUGAGGUUUGAUUUUUUUGAACUCGACUCUCUACCUCCUAUUCCAGUUUCUCGACAACCCUAAAUUUUGAACUAUUGUUGCAGAUGCAACCGCUUCAUUGUGGAGAGAUUCAAAUCGAGUAGUAGCAAGGAGAUUCAAUUUCGGCCCUUGUUUUGCUGUAUCAGGUAGGUUUUACUGUAGCGAUGAUUCCCAUUUUCAGAUUGAGCUAGGUCGAAUUUUGAUGAGUUUCUCCGUAGGUUGAAUUUUUUUUGCACUUAUUUUGUCAUUUUGCUCUUUCCGAUUAGGUUUUAAUGUUAUGUUGACCGAACUAGUUCUGUUUUGGUGUUUUAUUUAUUUAUUGGUGUUUUCUUUGUUUAUUGGGUUUGCUAUAGAGCAGAUUUGGAUCCCAGCUGGCUGUAUUUUGCAGUGAGUUGAACUAAUUCGGGUCGGAUAUUGUUCUUUAUCAUGCACAUGUUAUUGCAUGUUAAAUCAUUUUUUCGACCUAAUCAUGGGUUAACUAGCGUAGAUUUUUGACUGAUUUCUUUGAUUCGUGAUUAUACUUAAUGUUUGGAUGAACUUGCAAUGGAGGGUUUAGUUUUGUCGAGCAUCUUUGGGUGAUUCAGUUCAGGAAGGAUGUGAUGCAGUUUAUCAUAAGGAAUUUUGAGUCAGAGACGCUCACACUAAAGAUCGCUGAAAGGAAGAAGGUAGUGUUGACUGAGGAUGAUAUGACCUUGGUCGUGGUUGGGUAGCGGUUUCUGACUUCCUACAAAAUUCCUUGACAAACCUCUAAUUUCGGGUAAGCGAGUUGAAGUUGCCUUGCAGCAGUAGAUCGAAUAUGAAGUUGUCUGAUGUCAAAGCCAUGUUAGGUGUUGAAGAUGAUAACAAACGUUGGUUUCAGCUGUUCGUUUGGUUAGUUGUUGGUUGUAUUUUUGUGCCACAAGCUAGUUUAAUCAUGAAUGCAAAUUACCUUGGUAUUUGUUUCUGUAAAGAUGUACCCAUUUUUAAGGAUUUCAACUGGUGUGAACACCUAUUGGAAAUCAUCUCUACAGUAGGCAUCGGUUCGGAAGGAUACAUAGAGGUGGACCUCAACAUGUUAAUGGUACGUGCCUACUUUACUACAACACUAAAAUCUCUGCAAUAUACGUUCGUUACCAAUAGUAUGCUUACUUUACGAACAUAAUCUUAGUUAGGAUCAUAUGCUCAAAUAUAUGUUUGUGUUCUAAGAUUUUUAUGCUGGAUUGUGUUGGAGUGGGUGUUGGAGAUCGUGUUCCACGACAAAGGCCAACUGUUCGAUACUGAACCAAUAUUGUACUAAAGCGUCGAUUGAAUGAGUUUGAUGGAAUCAAUGGUUUCCAAAAUGGGUUUAUUAUCGAUUGGGAUCCAAAUACUGAUGAUGGAGUUUGGUUUUUCAGUAGAGAGCUGAGUAUUGGAGAAGUGUCACGAAAAGAACGGGUAUUACUACGAGGUAAUAAAUAUGUUCCCUCGUCUGUCGGUGCAAGGGUACGUCUCUCACUCACACCAACAAUGGGAGUGAAGACAGUCCAACAUUCAACUGCUGGAGUAAGGGAAGCAGCACCAAUAGUGAAGUCAACAAACUUCAAGGGAAGGAGCACGAUAAGUGAAUCAACAAGUAAAGGAUGCAAUGGAAACGGUUCUAUUAUUUCUGGUUUGCCAUUUAUAAGGCCGACAAUUGAGCAUCUUAGUGCUGAGGAGGUGCGUCUUGUUAGUUUUGAUUGAUACAUUUGUAUUGAUUACAAUGUCACUAUAUUGAAACUUUGUACUAGUUUUACAGGUUGAGGAAAGGUCUAUGUGGUUUGAGAACUACAUACAUUCUAUGAAUCUCCAUAUAAAUGUAUUGCAAUGUUUGAAGGAACAAUGUGACGACCAAGCCCAAACUGCUCGUCAAGUGCAUGGAACACAUGAUUUUUUCCUAAGUUAAGCAAGAGUUAGGAGUGAGUGGUUCAAUGAAGGAGGAAGAAGUGAAAGUGACUGGUGCAAGAAAGGAGGAAGAAGUAAAUCUGACUAAUCCAAAGAAGAACUUGAAGGAGGUUGUGUCAGAUGUAGGGAAAGUGAUGGUCACUUAUAACCCAAGUGAAAAGGUCUUUGGGGACUUUAGUAGCAUUGCUGACAUUAGCCUGAGUGCGAUUGAGUUUGCACCGAGUGAUGAUCCUUUGAACAAAGGUUACAUAGAUCAAGGACAAAAAGCUAGUGAUCUGGUAAUUAUUUAUUUCCUUUGUUACCUUGUUCGUUAAACUAGAGGUGACGUCUGUUUUAUCGUAGUGCACUGUAGUCUUCUAUACGGACACAAUCAGAGAUAUCUACCACAAAGGAAUCAAACGAGGGGGAUGAAGACGAAUUCAUCAUGGGGAAUGUUUUGGCCCAAGAUGUCAAGCCGACUUCUAUGAAUGAAGGUCCUUUGGAAUUUGGGGAAGGGAGGUUGGAAGAGAAACAAGAUGUGGACACUAUAAGAAAUCCUUUACUUAGCGUCGCUCGUUUUUAGGACAUUUGUCGAUCGUUGACCGACGCUAAGUAUUUUUGUGUCGGUUGAAAAAAGACGCUGAAUUUGGCGACGUAAAAUAAAUUUAGCACCGGUUGAAUCGUAUUUAGCGUCGGUUCUUCUUCUUCUUCUUCCUCUUCUUCUUCUUCUUCUUCUUCUUCUUCUUCUUCUUCUUC
This 2741-nucleotide long non-coding RNA is filed under the name Linum usitatissimum (flax). RNAcentral describes it as "long non-coding RNA (LUSI_LNC007849)". Lineage: Eukaryota; Viridiplantae; Streptophyta; Magnoliopsida; Malpighiales; Linaceae. The record is from RNAcentral.